GACGAACGCUGGCGGCGUGCUUAACACAUGCCAGUCGAACGGAAAGGCCCUGCUUUUGUGGGGUGCUCGAGUGGCGAACGGGUGAGUAACACGUGAGUAACCUGCCCUUGACUUUGGGAUAACUUCAGGAAACUGGGGCUAAUACCGGAUAGGAGCUCCUGCUGCAUGGUGGGGGUUGGAAAGUUUCGGCGGUUGGGGAUGGACUCGCGGCUUAUCAGCUUGUUGGUUGGGUAGUGGCUUACCAAGGCUUUGACGGGUAGCCGGCCUGAGAGGGUGACCGGACACGUUGGGCUUGAGAUACGGCACAGACUCCUAUGGGACGCAACAGUGGGGAAUAUUGCACAAGGGGCGGAACCCUGAUGCAGCAACGCCGCGUGCGGGAUGACGUCCUUCGGGUUGUAAACCGCUUUCGCCUGUGACGAAGCGUGAGUGACGGUAAUGGGUAAAGAAGCACCGGCUAACUACGUG
Molecule: ribosomal RNA, 468 nt
Filed under: uncultured bacterium
Lineage: Bacteria
Description: partial 16S ribosomal RNA
Rfam family: Bacterial small subunit ribosomal RNA
Source: RNAcentral